This 709-nucleotide ribosomal RNA is filed under the name uncultured bacterium. RNAcentral describes it as "bacterial SSU rRNA". It matches the Rfam family "Bacterial small subunit ribosomal RNA", at positions 104 to 810 of the family's 1533-position model. The record is from RNAcentral.
GGGUGAGUAACACGUAUGUAACCUGCCCUAUGCAGGGGGAUAACCCGGAGAAAUCCGGCCUAAUACCGCGUAACACCUUUUGGGAGCAUUCCCGGGAGGUUAAAGGAGAGAUCCGGCAUAGGAUGGACAUGCGUCGCAUUAGGUAGACGGCGGGGUAACGGCCCACCGUGCCGACGAUGCGUAGGGGUUCUGAGAGGAAGGCCCCCCACACUGGUACUGAGACACGGACCAGACUCCUACGGGAGGCAGCAGUGAGGAAUAUUGGUCAAUGGCCGAGAGGCUGAACCAGCCAAGUCGCGUGAGGGAAGAAUGUCCUAAGGAUUGUAAACCUCUUUUGUCGGGGAGCAAAAAGGCUCUGCGGAGUCGUAUUGAGAGUAUCCGAAGAAAAAGCAUCGGCUAACUCCGUGCCAGCGGCCGCGGUAAUACGGAGGAUGCGAGCGUUAUCCGGAUUUAUUGGGUUUAAAGGGUGCGCAGGCGGCGUGUCAAGCAAGCGGUAAAAUAGCGGGGCUCAACCCCGUCGAGCCGUUUGAACUGGCGCGCUUGAGUUCAGGCGAGGUAGGCGGAAUUCGUGGUGUAGCGGUGAAAUGCAUAGAUAUCACGAAGAACUCCGAUUGCGAAGGCAGCUUACCAGUCUGCGACUGACGCUCAGGCACGAAAGUGUGGGUAUCGAACAGGAUUAGAUACCCUGGUAGUCCACACAGUAAACGAU